GACGAACGCUGGCGGCGUGCUUAACACAUGCAAGUCGAACGGAAAGGCCCUGCUUUUGUGGGGUGCUCGAGUGGCGAACGGGUGAGUAACACGGGAGUAACCUGCCCUUGACUUUGGGAUAACUUCAGGAAACUGGGGCUAAUACCGGAUAGGAGCUCCUGCUGCAUGGUGGGGGUUGGAAAGUUUCGGCGGUUGGGGAUGGACUCGCGGCUUAUCAGCUUGUUGGUGGGGUAGUGGCUUACCAAGGCUUUGACGGGUAGCCGGCCUGAGAGGGUGACCGGCCACAUUGGGACUGCGAUACGGCCCAGACUCCUACGGGAGGCAGCAGUGGGGAAUCUUGCACAAUGGUCGGAAGCCUGAUGCAGCAACGCCGCGUGCGGGAUAACGGCAUUCGGGUUGUAAACCGUUUUCGCCUGUGACGAAGCGUGAGUGACGGUAAUGGGUAAAGAAGCACCGGCUAACUACGUG
Molecule: ribosomal RNA, 468 nt
Filed under: uncultured bacterium
Lineage: Bacteria
Description: partial 16S ribosomal RNA
Rfam family: Bacterial small subunit ribosomal RNA
Source: RNAcentral